Molecule: ribosomal RNA, 253 nt
Filed under: uncultured bacterium
Lineage: Bacteria
Description: partial 16S ribosomal RNA
Rfam family: Bacterial small subunit ribosomal RNA
Source: RNAcentral
UACGAAGGGGGCUAGCGUUGCUCGGAAUCACUGGGCGUAAAGGGUGCGUAGGCGGGUCUUUAAGUCAGGGGUGAAAUCCUGGAGCUCAACUCCAGAACUGCCUUUGAUACUGAAGAUCUUGAGUUCGGGAGAGGUGAGUGGAACUGCGAGUGUAGAGGUGAAAUUCGUAGAUAUUCGCAAGAACACCGGUGGCGAAGGCGGCUAACUGGUCCGGUACUGACGCUGAGGUGCGAAAGCGUGGGGAGCAAACAGG